AUAUUCAAACUAACAUAUUUUUUUCUUUUUGGCCAUAAAUUGGAUGGCAUUUCAUCGAUAUCAUACCAAUCUGGUGUCAAACUAUUUACCGCAACGGUACAUGGCUCACCAACUAAGUCAACAUAAACCUUAUGUGUCAGGUCUCCCAAAACAUUAACCAUCUACACAAAUUGAUAUUUCCAUCUUGCCGCAGAAGUUAAGAGCAAUAGAAGAGAACUCCUAACCUUCAACAAUGACUCUAGUCCAUCAGAUGUUCUCUUAUUUCUAAUCCUCCUCAAAACCCAAAAGAUGAAAAGUGUUGCUGUACUCCAUAGCUACUUUUUCUUCCUUACAAUGAAACUCGAGCUCCACCCUACUACUAUUUAGGACAAACCCAAUAGAUCUUAAAGGUUGUAAAUAUCGAGGUCUAAAGUUCUGCAUCACACAAUUCAAUAGAAUGUAAUCCACCUCCUCGCAUGCGUUUUGCACAUGCAACACUAGCUCACCAUGAUAUAUUCUAUUUUUCUCAAACUGCCUACAGUCGGAAUAGCUUCCCAAGCGGCAAACAUACAAAAAAAAACUAAGUGUUUUAAGUUUCCAGGAAUUCAAUAUAUCCUUCCACAUGAGGCUCCACUCCCCACCAAUAAAGAAACAUCUAUAAUAGGACCUCACUUAAGUGUUUCGACGAGAACCUUUCCAAAUCAACACUAUCUACCCAAACUAUGUAAAGCCGUAUAUAAGAACGAUUCAACUCCGAAGCAUGUAAGGGCUUCCUAAAAGAGAUGUCUAUUCCUUCCCGCCUUAAAGUCUCGGCUACGAGUGUUCAAUGGGGAAAAACGAGGAAAAAUAACUAAAAAUCCAACAAAUCUACAAAAAGAAACCAGCAUAUACUUUGGGUAGGUUUGGUUUGGAAUUACAUUUGGAAAAAACAAAAACUAUGUGAUUUGAUUUGUUAUUAUACCAAAAAAGAAAACGAACAAACCCGACUAUAUACCUAAUGAUAAGAAUGGACCGUGAGCCUAACUCAACCCCAAAA
This 1015-nucleotide long non-coding RNA is filed under the name Nicotiana benthamiana. Its description in RNAcentral is "long non-coding RNA (NBEN_LNC002762)". The record is from RNAcentral. Lineage: Eukaryota; Viridiplantae; Streptophyta; Magnoliopsida; Solanales; Solanaceae.